This 71-nucleotide transfer RNA is filed under the name Leptolyngbya sp. IPPAS B-1204. RNAcentral describes it as "tRNA-Gly". It matches the Rfam family "tRNA". Rfam says of the family: Transfer RNA (tRNA) molecules are approximately 80 nucleotides in length. Their secondary structure includes four short double-helical elements and three loops (D, anti-codon, and T loops). Further hydrogen bonds mediate the characteristic L-shaped molecular structure. tRNAs have two regions of fundamental functional importance: the anti-codon, which is responsible for specific mRNA codon recognition, and the 3' end, to which the tRNAs corresponding amino acid is attached (by aminoacyl-tRNA synthetases). tRNAs cope with the degeneracy of the genetic code in two manners: having more than one tRNA (with a specific anti-codon) for a particular amino acid; and 'wobble' base-pairing, i.e. permitting non-standard base-pairing at the 3rd anti-codon position. The record is from RNAcentral. Lineage: Bacteria; Bacillati; Cyanobacteriota; Cyanophyceae; Leptolyngbyales; Leptolyngbyaceae. RNAcentral also lists the same sequence under 4 other names.
GCGGGCAUAGUUUAGUGGUAAAACUACUGCCUUCCAAGCAGUUAAUCGGGGUUCGAUUCCCCGUGCCCGCU